UACGUAGGUGGCAAGCGUUGUCCGGAUUUAUUGGGUUUAAAGGGUGCGUAGGUGGCCCUGUAAGUCAGUGGUGAAAUAUCUCAGCUUAACUGAGAGGGUGCCAUUGAUACUGCAGGGCUUGAGUACAGAUGAGGUAGGCGGAAUCGACGGUGUAGCGGUGAAAUGCAUAGAUAUCGUCAAGAACACCGAUAGCGAAGGCAGCUUACCAAGCUGUAACUGACACUGAGGCACGAAAGUGUGGGGAUCAAACAGG
RNAcentral lists this ribosomal RNA (253 nucleotides) under uncultured bacterium. RNAcentral's name for it is "partial 16S ribosomal RNA". It matches the Rfam family "Bacterial small subunit ribosomal RNA", at positions 524 to 776 of the family's 1533-position model. The record is from RNAcentral.